Molecule: ribosomal RNA, 700 nt
Filed under: uncultured organism
Description: bacterial SSU rRNA
Rfam family: Bacterial small subunit ribosomal RNA
Source: RNAcentral
GGGUACAUCAGCGGCAGACGGGUGAGUAACACGUAGGUGAUUACCCCAGAGACGGGGAUAACGGGUGGAAACAUCCGCUAAUACCGGAUAGGCUUGUUCGGUCAAAGGGACAAGGAAAGGCUCCGGCGCUCUGGGAGGAGCCUGCGGGCCAUCAGCUAGUUGGCGGGGUAACGGCCCACCAAGGCAAAGACGGGUAGGGGGUGUGAGAGCAUGGCCCCCCACAAUGGGACUGGAACACGGCCCAUACUCCUACGGGAGGCAGCAGCAGGGAAUAUUGCACAACGGACGGAAGUCUGAUGCAGCGACGCCGCGUGGAUGAAGAAGGCCCUCGGGUUGUAAAAUCCUUUACAGGGGGAAGAGGAAGGACGGUACCCCUGGAACAAAGUGUCGGCUAACUACGUGCCAGCAGCCGCGGUAAGACGUAGGACACAAGCGUUAUCCGGAUUUACUGGGCGUAAAGCGUCUGCAGGCGGACAGGUAAGUUGGGCGUGAAAGCUCCGGGUCCAACCCGGAGAGGUCGUUCAAUACUGCGUGUCUAGAGGGUGUCAGAGGGGAGUGGAAUUUCCGGAGUAGCGGUAAAAUGCGCAGAGAUCGGAAAGAACACCAAUGGCGAAGGGCAGGCUCCCUGGGGGCAACCCUGACGCUAAGAGACGAAAGCUAGGGGAAGCGAACAGGAUUAGAGACGCUGGUAGUCCUAGCC